GGUGUGGCCGAUGACUGGGGUGAAGUCGUAACAAGGUAGCCGUAGGGGAACCUGCGGCUGGAUCACCUCCUUAACGAA
This 78-nucleotide ribosomal RNA is filed under the name Acinetobacter baumannii. Its description in RNAcentral is "partial 16S ribosomal RNA". It matches the Rfam family "Bacterial small subunit ribosomal RNA", at positions 1461 to 1533 of the family's 1533-position model. Lineage: Bacteria; Pseudomonadati; Pseudomonadota; Gammaproteobacteria; Moraxellales; Moraxellaceae. The record is from RNAcentral.